UCCGGGAAACCGGAGCUAAUACCGGAUAGUUCCUUGAACCGCAUGGUUCAAGGAUGAAAGACGGUUUCGGCUGUCACUUACAGAUGGACCCGCGGCGCAUUAGCUAGUUGGUGAGGUAACGGCUCACCAAGGCGACGAUGCGUAGCCGACCUGAGAGGGUGAUCGGCCACACUGGGACUGAGACACGGCCCAGACUCCUACGGGAGGCAGCAGUAGGGAAUCUUCCGCAAUGGACGAAAGUCUGACGGAGCAACGCCGCGUGAGUGAUGAAGGUUUUCGGAUCGUAAAGCUCUGUUGUUAGGGAAGAACAAGUGCAAGAGUAACUGCUUGCACCUUGACGGUACCUAACCAGAAAGCCACGGCUAACUACGUGCCAGCAGCCGCGGUAAUACGUAGGUGGCAAGCGUUGUCCGGAAUUAUUGGGCGUAAAGGGCUCGCAGGCGGUUUCUUAAGUCUGAUGUGAAAGCCCCCGGCUCAACCGGGGAGGGUCAUUGGAAACUGGGAAACUUGAGUGCAGAAGAGGAGAGUGGAAUUCCACGUGUAGCGGUGAAAUGCGUAGAGAUGUGGAGGAACACCAGUGGCGAAGGCGACUCUCUGGUCUGUAACUGACGCUGAGGAGCGAAAGCGUGGGGAGCGAACAGGAUUAGAUACCCUGGUAGUCCACGCCGUAAACGAUGAGUGCUAAGUGUUAGGGGGUUUCCGCCCCUUAGUGCUGCAGCUAACGCAUUAAGCACUCCGCCUGGGGAGUACGGUCGCAAGACUGAAACUCAAAGGAAUUGACGGGGGCCCGCACAAGCGGUGGAGCAUGUGGUUUAAUUCGAAGCAACGCGAAGAACCUUACCAGGUCUUGACAUCCUCUGACAACCCUAGAGAUAGGGCUUUCCCUUCGGGGACAGAGUGACAGGUGGUGCAUGGUUGUCGUCAGCUCGUGUCCUGAGAUGUUGGGUUAAGUCCCGCAACGAGCGCA
RNAcentral lists this ribosomal RNA (967 nucleotides) under Bacillus sp. L7-28. RNAcentral's name for it is "bacterial SSU rRNA". It matches the Rfam family "Bacterial small subunit ribosomal RNA", at positions 148 to 1100 of the family's 1533-position model. Lineage: Bacteria; Bacillati; Bacillota; Bacilli; Caryophanales; Bacillaceae. The record is from RNAcentral.